UGGGGAAUAUUGGACAAUGGGCGCAAGCCUGAUCCAGCCAUGCCGCGUGAGUGAUGAAGGCCCUAGGGUUGUAAAGCUCUUUCACCGGUGAAGAUAAAGACGGUAACCGGAGAAGAAGCCCCGGCUAACUUCGUGCCAGCAGCCGCGGUAAUACGAAGGGGGCUAGCGUUGUUCGGAUUUACUGGGCGUAAAGCGCACGUAGGCGGACUAUUAAGUCAGGGGUGAAAUCCCGGGGCUCAACCCCGGAACUGCCUUUGAUACUGGUAGUCUUGAGUUCGAGAGAGGUGAGUGGAAUUCCGAGUGUAGAGGUGAAAUUCGUAGAUAUUCGGAGGAACACCAGUGGCGAAGGCGGCUCACUGGCUCGAUACUGACGCUGAGGUGCGAAAGCGUGGGGAGCAAACAGG
This 404-nucleotide ribosomal RNA is filed under the name Actinomycetes bacterium. Its description in RNAcentral is "Actinobacteria bacterium partial 16S ribosomal RNA". It matches the Rfam family "Bacterial small subunit ribosomal RNA", at positions 355 to 776 of the family's 1533-position model. The record is from RNAcentral. Lineage: Bacteria; Bacillati; Actinomycetota; Actinomycetes.